UACAGAGGGGGCAAGCGUUGUUCGGAAUUACUGGGCGUAAAGGGCGCGUAGGCGGCCUCCUAAGUCAGACGUGAAAUCCCUCGGCUCAACCGGGGAACUGCGUCUGAUACUGGGAGGCUUGAAUCCGGGAGAGGGAUGUGGAAUUCCAGGUGUAGCGGUGAAAUGCGUAGAUAUCUGGAGGAACACCGGUGGCGAAGGCGGCAUCCUGGACCGAUACUGACGCUGAGGAGCGAAAGCCAGGGGAGCAAACGGG
RNAcentral lists this ribosomal RNA (253 nucleotides) under uncultured bacterium. RNAcentral describes it as "partial 16S ribosomal RNA". It matches the Rfam family "Bacterial small subunit ribosomal RNA", at positions 524 to 776 of the family's 1533-position model. The record is from RNAcentral.